RNAcentral lists this ribosomal RNA (253 nucleotides) under uncultured bacterium. Its description in RNAcentral is "partial 16S ribosomal RNA". It matches the Rfam family "Bacterial small subunit ribosomal RNA", at positions 524 to 776 of the family's 1533-position model. The record is from RNAcentral.
UACGUAGGGGGCUAGCGUUGUCCGGAAUCAUUGGGCGUAAAGCGCGCGUAGGCGGCCCGGUAAGUCCGCUCUGAAAGUCAAAGGCUCAACCUUUGAAAGCGGGUGGAUACUGCCAGGCUAGAGUCCGGAAGAGGCGAGUGGAAUUCCUGGUGUAGCGGUGGAGUGCGCAGAUAUCAGGAGGAACACCAACGGCGAAGGCAGCUCGCUGGGACGGUACUGACACUGAGGCGCGAAAGCGUGGGGAGCGAACAGG